This 468-nucleotide ribosomal RNA is filed under the name uncultured bacterium. RNAcentral's name for it is "partial 16S ribosomal RNA". It matches the Rfam family "Bacterial small subunit ribosomal RNA", at positions 28 to 507 of the family's 1533-position model. The record is from RNAcentral.
GACGAACGCUGGCGGCGUGCUUAACACAUGCAAGUCGAACGGAAAGGCCCUGCUUUUGUGGGGUGCUCGAGUGGCGAACGGGUGAGUAACACGUGAGUAACCUGCCCUUGACUUUGGGAUAACUUCAGGAAACUGGGGCUAAUAUCGGAUAGGAGCCCCUGUUGCAUGGUGGGGGUUGGAAAGUUUCGGCGGUUGGGGAUGGACUCGCGGCUUAUCAGCUUGUUGGUGGGGUAGUGGCUUACCAAGGCUUUGACGGGUAGCCGGCCUGAGAGGGCGACCGGCGACAAGAGGACUGAGGGACGGCCCAGACGCCAACGGGAGGCAACAGUGGGGAGUAUGGCACAGUGAGAGGGAGCCUGAUGCGAAGGCGCCGCGGGCGGAAUGACGGCCUGCGGGUUGUGAACCGCUUUCGCCUGAGACGAAGCGUGAGUGACGGUAAUGGAUAAAGAAGCACCGGCUAACUACGUG